UACGUAGGGGGCUAGCGUUAUCCGGAAUUACUGGGCGUAAAGGGUGCGUAGGCGGUCUUUCAAGUCAGAGGUGAAAGGCUACGGCUCAACCGUAGUAAGCCUUUGAAACUGGGAAACUUGAGUGCAGGAGAGGAGAGUGGAAUUCCUAGUGUAGCGGUGAAAUGCGUAGAUAUUAGGAGGAACACCAGUUGCGAAGGCGGCUCUCUGGACUGUAACUGACACUGAGGCACGAAAGCGUGGGGAGCAAACAGGAUUAGAUACCCUGGUAGUCCCUGA
RNAcentral lists this ribosomal RNA (276 nucleotides) under uncultured prokaryote. RNAcentral's name for it is "partial 16S ribosomal RNA". It matches the Rfam family "Bacterial small subunit ribosomal RNA", at positions 524 to 800 of the family's 1533-position model. The record is from RNAcentral.